ACCUACGGGGGGCAGCAGUGGGGAAUAUUGCACAAUGGGGGAAACCCUGAUGCAGCAACGCCGCGUGAGUGAAGAAGUAUUUCGGUAUGUAAAGCUCUAUCAGCAGGGAAGAGAAUGACGGUACCUGACUAAGAAGCCCCGGCUAACUACGUGCCAGCAGCCGCGGUAAUACGUAGGGGGCGAGCGUUAUCCGGAUUUACUGGGUGUACAGGGAGCGUAGACGGUUCUGCAAGUCUGAAGUGAAAGCCCGUGGCUUACUCGCG
Molecule: ribosomal RNA, 263 nt
Filed under: uncultured bacterium
Lineage: Bacteria
Description: partial 16S ribosomal RNA
Rfam family: Bacterial small subunit ribosomal RNA
Source: RNAcentral